AAAGGCGAAAAGAACCCCGGUGAGGGGAGUGAAAUAGAACCUGAAACCAGGUGCGUACAAGCAGUAGGAGCCCUUCGGGGUGACUGCGUACCUUUUGUAUAAUGGGUCAGCGACUUAUAUUUUGUAGCGAGCUUAACCGACUAGGGGAGGCGAAGGGAAACCGAGUGUUAACUGCGCGAAUAGUUGCAAGGUAUAGACCCGAAACCCGGUGAUCUAUCCAUGGCCAGGAUGAAGGUGAGGUAACACUUACUGGAGGUCCGAACCCACGUAUGUUGAAAAAUGCGGGGAUGACGUGUGGCUAGGGGUGAAAGGCCAAUCAAACCGGGAGAUAGCUGGUUCUCCCCGAAAUCUAUUUAGGUAGAGCCUCGGACGAAUUCCAUUGGGGGUAGAGCACUGUUAAGGCUAGGGGGUCAUCCCGACUUACCAACCCGAUGCAAACUCCGAAUACCUGUGAGUACUAUCCGGGAGACACACGGCGGGUGCUAACGUCCGUCGUGGAGAGGGAAACAACCCAGACCGCCAGCUAAGGUCCCCAAGUACCAGUUAAGUGGGAAACGAUGUGGGAAGGCUCAGACAGCUAGGAGGUUGGCUUAGAAGCAGCCAUCCUUUAAAGAAAGCGUAAUAGCUCACUGGUCGAGUCGGCCCGCGCGGAAGAUGUAACGGGGCUAAGCGAUAUACCGAAGCUGCGGAUGCAUGUUUACAUGCAUGGUAGGGGAGCGUUCUGUACGUCUGUGAAGGUGAGUCGUAAGGCUUGCUGGAGAUAUCAGAAGUGCGAAUGCUGACAUGAGUAACGAUAAAG
RNAcentral lists this ribosomal RNA (799 nucleotides) under Gambierdiscus australes. RNAcentral describes it as "partial Bacterial large subunit ribosomal RNA". It matches the Rfam family "Bacterial large subunit ribosomal RNA", at positions 510 to 1317 of the family's 2925-position model. Lineage: Eukaryota; Dinophyceae; Gonyaulacales; Pyrocystaceae. The record is from RNAcentral.